GAUGAACGCUGGCGGCGUGCCUAACACAUGCAAGUCGAGCGGCAGCGAGGGGUGCUUGCACCCUGUCGGCGAGCGGCGGACGGCUGAGUAACGCGUGGGAACGUGCCCCAAAGUGAGGAAUAACUGCCCGAAAGGGUAGCUAAUACCGCAUAUUAUCUUCGGAUCAAAGGAUUUAUCCGCUUUGGGAGCGGCUCGCGUCGGAUUAGGUAGUUGGUGAGGUAAUGGCUCACCAGGCCGACGAUCCGUAGCUGGUCUGAGAGGAUGACCAGCCAGACUGGAACUGAGACACGGUCCAGACUCCUACGGGAGGCAGCAGUGAGGAAUCUUCCACAAUGGGCGAAAGCCUGAUGGAGCAACGCCGCGUGCAGGACGAAGGCCUUCGGGUUGUAAACUGCUUUUAUAAGUGAGGAAUAUGACGGUAACUUAUGAAUAAGGAUCGGCUAACUACGUG
Molecule: ribosomal RNA, 451 nt
Filed under: uncultured bacterium
Lineage: Bacteria
Description: partial 16S ribosomal RNA
Rfam family: Bacterial small subunit ribosomal RNA
Source: RNAcentral